Molecule: long non-coding RNA, 353 nt
Organism: Cucurbita maxima (winter squash)
Lineage: Eukaryota; Viridiplantae; Streptophyta; Magnoliopsida; Cucurbitales; Cucurbitaceae
Exons: 2
Source: RefSeq, a predicted model, not a curated record
AUGAUCAUCUGUUAUGUUUAAACAAUGAGAUUUAAGCUAAUGAGUGAGCUGCGCUAUAUUUUAAGUUCGUGAGAUUUAAGCUAGUUACAGAUACCCGUAAGAGGACGGGAUUGAAGGAGCAAAUGAUCCCAUUUUCUGAAUUCGAGGACAAGCUGCAAGUCUCUUUCAAAGUUAAUUGUUUAGAAGCGCUUAUAGAUUUGGUUCUGAUUCAGUUGUCUGCUCUGGCUUAUGGAAUUGCAGCAUGCAUGUUAUGAUGAAAAAGGGUAUAGGAUUGUCUCAAUCGAUUGCCAGGAAUUUAGAAGAACAUUAUUGUUUGGUAGAAACUCUUUUCUUCACAGCUAUUAUCCACAGGA